CCUACGGGGGGCAGCAGUGAGGAAUAUUGGUCAAUGGGCGCAAGCCUGAACCAGCCAAGUCGCGUGAGGGAUGACGGUCCUAUGGAUUGUAAACCUCUUUUGUCGGGGCGCAAGGCCCGCCACGUGUGGCGGGACGGAGAGUACCCGAAGACAAAGCAUCGGCUAACUCCGUGCCAGCAGCCGCGGUAAUACGGAGGAUGCGAGCGUUAUCCGGAUUUAUUGGGUUUAAAGGGUGCGUAGGCGGAAGGUUAAGUCAGCGGUCAAAUGUAGGUGAUAAACAACGGCCUGCAGUUGAAAAUGGUAUUAGUGAGUGAGAGAGAAGUAUGAGGAAUGAGUGGUGUAGAGGUGAAAUGAAUAGAUAUAAAGAAGAAAUAAGAUUGAGAAGGAAGAAUAAAGGAGAUAAAAUGAAGAUGAGGAAAGAAAGAGUGGGGAUAGAAAAGGAUUAGAUAACCAAGUAGUC
This 460-nucleotide ribosomal RNA is filed under the name uncultured bacterium. RNAcentral describes it as "partial 16S ribosomal RNA". It matches the Rfam family "Bacterial small subunit ribosomal RNA", at positions 338 to 795 of the family's 1533-position model. The record is from RNAcentral.